Caenorhabditis elegans is the source of this 155-nucleotide non-coding RNA. NCBI's taxonomy places the organism in Eukaryota, Metazoa, Nematoda, Chromadorea, Rhabditida, Rhabditidae. The record is from Ensembl.
GAAAAAAAAGGGAAGCUGUUGGCAUCCAACUCCCAUUUUCAUAUUCUAUCCCACUCUUUUAUUUCGUUUGCCCAUCAAACUCAGACUUAUCCUUAUGAUGAUGAACAAGCCUUUCUGAAGCUUAUUUAAAAGCUUCUGAACACAAUAAUACUCAC